UCCUGUCUAGAGAUGACUGGCACCCUUAGGACAGAGGCAUGACACCUUCUCUGGGGCUGGUGAGCUGGUGUGCUCUAUUUUUUUGUUUGCUUCUUUGUUUGCGACAGGAUUUCAGUGCCGUAAUCUCCCAGUCUCUGGCCUUUGGCACCCAGAUGCUGCGAGCUUCAGAUCUGCACCACUGUACCGGCUUCGCUUGAGUCCUGAGAUACGCUGCUCGCGGGUUCGUUUGCCUCAUAAACGUGCAGUGUGGAAACCACUGGUGUGACCGGUGCUCGGAGCACAGACCUGCUGUCCAGGAGCACAGAUGUGGCCAUUUCCGCGCUGAGACAGGGAGUCCUGAGGUUACUAAGGAGUGCUUGCCUACACGUGUGCCUGUGCAUGCCUGCUGCUCUUCCAGGCCGGAGGAGGGCAUCAGGCCUUCUGGAGCUAGAGUUAAAAUGGUUGUAAGCUGCCACUUGGGUGCUGGGAAAUGAACAUAGCUCUUCUCUAAGAGGAACAACCACUGUUAACUGCUGAGCCAACUCUCCCUCCUUACAUGGUUUUAGGUUGACAGACAAGUUAUUUUUACAGCAAGUCUCAGCACUUGGUGUCACGGUGAGUUUAGCUGGGCUGCUCCAGGUGUGAGCUCUCAGAGCCACACCACCUACCCGUGAUACGCUGCUUUGUUGGAGGAUGGUCUCAUGCUAAUUACUGUUGCUCAAGAUCUGGAUACUGCCCACCGGAUACACCCAUCCUUGUUUGUGUAAACCUGCCUAAAACACUAUACCUGAUUGGUUCAUUCAAUGGCCUAUCUGGGCAGGGUGGAAAUGGAGUAGGCGUGACGAAGGUUCCCAGGAGUUUGAGGACGGAAGAAUCAUGGAAAUCAGGGGAAAGAGAGGGAGAGGAAGGAGGACGAUGAUGAGCUAGCCAGGAGAAGUAACAACGUGGAGGAAGAACUCCAAUCAUGUUGUGAGAAGGCCCAGGCUGUUUUCUAACGGAAAAUCUUGUGAGAGACUCAAGAGUUCCCGCUCUUGGCCCCCUUGUCAUAGAGUCCCCAAGCAACGCUGGGCACUGCUGGGCUGUUCGCCUCUUUCCCAGGAAUGCCCACUCCAUUAGAGACUCCUCAUCGGGAGGUCGUCGGGAACACAGAGUCAGCCUGGAAUCCCACAGUGUGCCCUGCACUUCAGCUCUUAGCCAUUCAAAUGUGGAUCGCUCUACAGAGCCCUGGCUGUCCUGGACUCACUUUGCAGACAGGCUGGCCUCAGAGUCAGAGAUCCAUCUACUGCCUCCCAAGGGCUGAAAUUAAAGAUGUGCACCACCA
Molecule: long non-coding RNA, 1300 nt
Organism: Meriones unguiculatus (Mongolian gerbil)
Lineage: Eukaryota; Metazoa; Chordata; Mammalia; Rodentia; Muridae
Exons: 4
Source: RefSeq, a predicted model, not a curated record